Molecule: non-coding RNA, 1904 nt
Organism: Phascolarctos cinereus (koala)
Lineage: Eukaryota; Metazoa; Chordata; Mammalia; Diprotodontia; Phascolarctidae
Source: RefSeq, a predicted model, not a curated record
GAGAGAAUCAGGGCCUAAGAGGCCUGUAUUUGGAGAGCAAGCAGGACUCUUUCCUGUUCCAAAAUACUUGCCAAAGCCAUGUCUGAAAUGUCAGGAAGGAGCACAUUUCUAAUUUGACAGGUCAGCAAAAACAGUCACUUAGCUGAGAAGAAAUGAGACUGUGAGCUGACUUUCUCCUUCCUUCUUCCUCCUCAGGAUUUACUGGUCUUAGGCCCUCAGAUCCAAGGAUGGUUCAGGACCACUCUAUUAGGAAGUGAGCUUUUCAGUGCCUGGUCCAACUGCUCCACAUCUUCAGAGCUGAGACAAAUCCCCCCACUCUUAUGGCAUCUACAAGGGUCAUGAAGUCCAGUGGCAGGAUACAAGUCAAGAUGACAAGUGAUGGUCCAGGAUACAGGCCAAAUUCAGAGAAUGGAGACAAUCACUUAUGGCUAGGGUAGCAUUUGAACUAGGACUUGAGGGAUGGUUAACAUUUUGAUAAGUCAAGAUAGGGACAAAGGUCAUUUCAUUCAUUCAGCAAAUACUUAUUAAGUGAAAAGCAAUGUUCUAGGUGCUGAAGAUAAUAAGGACAAAUAAAAAGCACUCCCUGCUCUCAAGAAGUUUAUGGUCUACUGGAGGCUACAUCAUAUAAACAGAUAAAUUCAAGAUAGUCUGAUGAAGGAGAAAGAGGCAUUAACAACUAGGUGGAUUAGAACAGGCUUCUCAUGGGAAGUAAUACCUAAGGUAGACCUUGAAGGUAUCUAUGGAUUCUAAGAGGCCAGGGUGAGAAGUCAAUGCAAUCCAAGCCUGGUAUGUGGCCUGAUAGAAGAGAUGGGUUUAAGGUCUCUCAGUUGCCCUUAACAUGAUUUAGCUUGUCUGCUGAGAUGGUUUUACAGGAGUGUGGCUGCUGAGCAUGCUACAGCUUUUUGGAUCCACAGGAGAGAGUUUAGUCACUAGUGGACACCAAAGGUGCAUGAGCAGACCUGAAAAGGAGUCAGCAAACCCUCACACCAGAGGUGCUGAUCCUUCCUAAGCACCCCAUUAGCCCCAUUUUAUUAUAUAGUUACAAAUUUAUCAGCAGUGAUCCCAUGGAGCAUGUGCUUUGGAUCCAUGGAGAUGGACCUCUUGCUAAAGCGACCUUUUGCUAAAGGAGAGGUGCUUUGCUUUGGGAUAAUGCAGCAAUCCCUUUUUGGUACCCAUGACUGGAAGGCAUGUCAAAGAAGAUUGAGCUAGGUAAAGUCACUAGCUCUAUGGGUUAUAAAGAGUAAAAAGAGAGACAGUUUCUUCUCUCCUUCAAGGUAGCCUCUUUGUUGGAAUAAAACCAAUUCCAGCUCUCUCUAGGAUGUCUAGAAAGCUACAGGUGGGGAGAGGGGUUCCUUCUCCUUCCCUUCCACCUCCCCUACUCUUCUGACAGUAAUGGCAACUGCAGGUACAUGGCAGCAAGAACGUGUGCUUGCCUAGGGGAGUUUGAGCCUGAAAUCCCUGAACAUGAAGUCCCUGGCUGCUUCUUCUGGUCUGUUUACUUUCCCUCAGCCCAGGUCACAGACAGCUUUCCUGAGAAAGACACAUUUCGAGGCCUGGCGGUAACCUUGUGAGUUCAAGAAGCUAGGAGUUUCUGAGGGUACUGGCUGCCAGAUUCCCACAACGGAACCAUUUCUUGGAGGAGAAGCAUCACUUCCAGGAGGAUGCUGCAUCUGAAAGAACUAAGAAAACCUAAGCCAUGCCCUACUUUUACCAGGGCAUCAGGACUUAAGACUUUCACAGUGUAGGUCUAAGGUGAAUGAGAAAUAUUUUUGCCUUUAACUUUCAUAACAGUAUACUAGGUGAUGGAUUACUACAUCAUAAUUUAUGACUUGUUAAUGCACUUGUAUGAGUCUUUUGGGUUUUAAGCAUUUCUUUUAUGGUGGGAGAAAUAAAUAACUAUCCUA